GAUGAAGAACGUAGCGAAAUGCGAUAAGUAGUGUGAAUUGCAGAAUUCAGUGAAUCAUCGAAUCUUUGAACGCACAUUGCGCCCCUCCGUAUUCCGUGGGGCAUGCCUGUUCGAGCGUCAUUUAACCCCUCAAGCCUAGCUUGGUAUUGGGUGCUUGUCCCGCCUCUCGCGCGGCGACUCACCUCAAAGUCAUUGGCAGCCCGCAUCUCGCCGGCCGUGAGCGCAGCACAGACGCGCUCUUGGCAACGACGGAUCGGCUCUCCAAAAGCUUAUUUCAACCACUGACCUCGGAUCAGGUAGGGAUACCCGCUGAACUUAAGCAUAUCAAUAACGGAGGA
RNAcentral lists this unclassified non-coding RNA (338 nucleotides) under soil metagenome. RNAcentral's name for it is "partial contains 5.8S ribosomal RNA, internal transcribed spacer 2, and large subunit ribosomal RNA". The stretch from base 1 to 120 matches the Rfam family "5.8S ribosomal RNA", at positions 35 to 154 of the family's 154-position model. The record is from RNAcentral.